This 474-nucleotide ribosomal RNA is filed under the name uncultured bacterium. Its description in RNAcentral is "bacterial SSU rRNA". It matches the Rfam family "Bacterial small subunit ribosomal RNA", at positions 28 to 487 of the family's 1533-position model. The record is from RNAcentral.
GAUGAACGCUAGCGGCAGGCUUAAUACAUGCAAGUCGAGGGGCAUCAAGGUACACGAAAGUGUAUUGUUGGCGACCGGCGGACGGGUGAGUAAUAGGUAGGUAACCUACCUCAUACUGAGGCAUAGCUGGGAGAAAUUCCAGGUAAUUCCUCAUGAGGUUAUAUGACACAUGUGAUAUAAUCAAAGGUAUCGCAAGGUACUGGUAUGAGAUGGGCUUACUGACCAUUAGCUAGUUGGUGAGAUAAGAGCUCACCAAGGCGAAGAUGGUUAGGGGUUUUGAGAGAGAGAUCCCCCACAUUGGAACUGAGAUACGGUCCAGACUCCUACGGGAGGCAGCAGUAGGGAAUAUUGGUCAAUGGGCGCGAGCCUGAACCAGCCAUCCCGCGUGCAGGAAGACGGCCCUAUGGGUUGUAAACUGCUUUUGUGCAGGAAGAAUGUGCCCAUCGUGAUGGGUAGUGACGGUGCUGCAUGAAU